UACGUAGGGUGCGAGCGUUAAUCGGAAUUACUGGGCGUAAAGCGUGCGCAGGCGGUGAUGUAAGACAGAUGUGAAAUCCCCGGGCUCAACCUGGGAACUGCAUUUGUGACUGCAUUGCUGGAGUGCGGCAAAGGGGGAUGGAAUUCCGCGUGUAGCAGUGAAAUGCGUAGAUAUGCGGAGGAACACCGAUGGCGAGGGCAAUCCCCUGGGCCUGCACUGACGCUCAUGCACGAAAGCGUGGGGAGCAAACAGG
RNAcentral lists this ribosomal RNA (253 nucleotides) under uncultured bacterium. RNAcentral describes it as "partial 16S ribosomal RNA". It matches the Rfam family "Bacterial small subunit ribosomal RNA", at positions 524 to 776 of the family's 1533-position model. The record is from RNAcentral.